GUGAACGCUGGCGGUAGGCCUAACCCAUGCAAGUCGAACGGCAGCACAGUAAGAGCUUGCUCUUACGGGUGGCGAGUGGCGGACGGGUGAGGAAUACAUCGGAAUCUACUUUUUCGUGGGGGAUAACGUAGGGAAACAUACGCUAAUACCGCAUACGACCUACGGGUGAAAGCAGGGGAUCUUCGGACCUUGCGCGAUUGAAUGAGCCGAUGUCGGAUUAGCUAGUUGGCGGGGUAAAGGCCCACCAAGGCGACGAUCCGUAGCUGGUCUGAGAGGAUGAUCAGCCACACUGGAACUGAGACACGGUCCAGACUCCUACGGGAGGCAGCAGUGGGGAAUAUUGGACAAUGGGCGCAAGCCUGAUCCAGCCAUACCGCGUGGGUGAAGAAGGCCUUCGGGUUGUAAAGCCCUUUUGUUGGGAAAGAAAAGCAGCAGGUUAAUACCCCGCUGUUCUGACGGUACCCAAAGAAUAAGCACCGGCUAACUUCGUG
RNAcentral lists this ribosomal RNA (491 nucleotides) under uncultured bacterium. Its description in RNAcentral is "partial 16S ribosomal RNA". It matches the Rfam family "Bacterial small subunit ribosomal RNA", at positions 29 to 507 of the family's 1533-position model. The record is from RNAcentral.